Molecule: small nucleolar RNA, 132 nt
Organism: Macadamia integrifolia
Lineage: Eukaryota; Viridiplantae; Streptophyta; Magnoliopsida; Proteales; Proteaceae
Source: RefSeq, a predicted model, not a curated record
GAGCAAGGGCGUCAAUAUUAUAAGAUGACGUGAUUUUUGCAUUGAAGGUUGGUGAUAUUGACCAGAAGCGAUUCUCCGUGCCUUUCAAAUUUCUCUUGGUUUUGAUUAUGGCCUCGAACAAGUCGCUACAUU